RNAcentral lists this ribosomal RNA (423 nucleotides) under uncultured bacterium. RNAcentral's name for it is "bacterial SSU rRNA". It matches the Rfam family "Bacterial small subunit ribosomal RNA", at positions 29 to 496 of the family's 1533-position model. The record is from RNAcentral.
AACGAACGCUGGCGGCAGGCCUAACACAUGCAAGUCGAACGCCCGUAGCAAUACGGGAGUGGCAGACGGGUGAGUAACGCGUGGGAACGUGCCCUUCGGUUCGGAAUAACUCAGGGAAACUUGAGCUAAUACCGGAUACGUCCGUAAGGAGAAAGAUUUAUCGCCGAAGGAUCGGCCCGCGUCGGAUUAGCUAGUUGGUGAGGUAACGGCCCACCAAGGCGACGAUCCGUAGCUGGUCUGAGAGGANGAUCAGCCACACUGGGACUGAGACACGGCCCAGACUCCUACGGGAGGCAGCAGUGGGGAAUAUUGGACAAUGGGCGAAAGCCUGAUCCAGCCAUGCCGCGUGAGUGAAGAAGGCCUUAGGGUUGUAAAGCUCUUUCAGCGGGAAGAUAAUGACGGUACCCGCAGAAGAAGCCCCGG